AGACGGAGGGUGCAAGCGUUGCUCGGAAUUACUGGGCGUAAAGGGUGCGUAGGCGGUCUCUCAAGUCUGGCGUGAAAGCCCAGGGCUCACCCCUGGAAGUGCGUUAGAAACUGAGAGACUUGAGUACCUGAGGGGAGAGUGGAAUUCCCGGUGUAGCGGUGAAAUGCGUAGAUAUCGGGAGGAAUACCGGUGGCGAAGGCGACUCUCUGGACGGUUACUGACGCUGAGGCACGAAAGCGUGGGGAGCAAACAGAAUUAGAAACCCCGGUAGUCC
This 274-nucleotide ribosomal RNA is filed under the name uncultured bacterium. RNAcentral describes it as "partial 16S ribosomal RNA". It matches the Rfam family "Bacterial small subunit ribosomal RNA", at positions 523 to 796 of the family's 1533-position model. The record is from RNAcentral.